AUUGAACGCUGGCGGCAGGCCUAACACAUGCGAGUCGAGCGGAUGAAGGGAGCUUGCUCCUGGAUUCAGCGGCGGACGGGUGAGUAAUGCCUAGGAAUCUGCCUGGUAGUGGGGGAUAACGUCCGGAAACGGGCGCUAAUACCGCAUACGUCCUGAGGGAGAAAGUGGGGGAUCUUCGGACCUCACGCUAUCAGAUGAGCCUAGGUCGGAUUAGCUAGUUGGUGGGGUAAAGGCCUACCAAGGCGACGAUCCGUAACUGGUCUGAGAGGAUGAUCAGUUACACUGGAACUGAGACACGGUCCAGACUCCUACGGGAGGCAGCAGUGGGGAAUAUUGGACAAUGGGCGAAAGCCUGAUCCAGCCAUGCCGCGUGUGUGAAGAAGGUCUUCGGAUUGUAAAGCACUUUAAGUUGGGAGGAAGGGCAGUAAGUUAAUACCUUGCUGUUUUGACGUUACCAACAGAAUAAGCACCGGCUAACUUCGUG
RNAcentral lists this ribosomal RNA (484 nucleotides) under uncultured bacterium. RNAcentral's name for it is "partial 16S ribosomal RNA". It matches the Rfam family "Bacterial small subunit ribosomal RNA", at positions 30 to 507 of the family's 1533-position model. The record is from RNAcentral.